RNAcentral lists this ribosomal RNA (619 nucleotides) under bacterium. Its description in RNAcentral is "partial 23S ribosomal RNA". It matches the Rfam family "Bacterial large subunit ribosomal RNA", at positions 1 to 537 of the family's 2925-position model. The record is from RNAcentral.
UGGUUGGCAAAUAAGGGCGAAUGGUGGAUGCCUAGACAUCAAAAGGCGACGAAGGACGCGGCGUAGCGGCGAUACGUCUCGGGGAGGUGCGUAGCAACCUGCGAUCCGAGAAUUUCCGAAUGGGGAAACCCAAUUGAGUAAACCUCAAUUACUCGCAGCAAUGCGAGUGCAAACCCACUGAAGUAAAACAUUCCAGUAAGUGGAGGAAUCAAAAACAAGUCCGCCGAUGAGGCGGAUCAUUCCCUUAGUAUCGGCGAGAGAAAAGGGAAGAGCCCAAACCAAAAUUUUUCGCAAGAAAAAUAUUGGGGUCAAAAGAAAGAGACGCUCUUAGCUUAUAACUUUUAUCUUGUGGCGCGAGCUACGAGAUAUCAGUUAUGAGCUAGGGUGAGAUUGUUACAAAUUCAUUGAUUAGCCGAGGUCCACUGGAAAGGGACGCCAAAGAGGGUGAUAGCCCCGUAGGCGAAAGUUGAUGAACAAUCCAGUUUCUUUUCUUAAGUACUUCGAGGUAAAUUAGUCUCGGAGGAAUUCGCGAGUACUAUCUCGCAAGGCUAAAUACUUUUGAUGAUCGAUAGUGAACAAGUACCGUGAGGGAAAGGUGAAAAGCAGGCCGGUGAGGCCG